This 1128-nucleotide long non-coding RNA is filed under the name Ornithorhynchus anatinus (platypus). RNAcentral describes it as "lncRNA (ENSOANG00000040833.1)". Lineage: Eukaryota; Metazoa; Chordata; Mammalia; Monotremata; Ornithorhynchidae. The record is from RNAcentral.
AUGGUUUCCGUCUUCCCUUUGAGUUCUCCGGCAAUUUCCUCUGGGUCUGGCAGCUUGACUCCCAGAUCUCCACCUGUGACUUUGAUGUCACUGGAUGGAAGUGAAAUGUCCGCCUCUCCUGAUGGCAGAGUGACUUGGGUCUGGGGACUCUUGACUUUGGGAAUCUUGACGCUUGGCAUUUUGACUUUGGGCCCCUCAAGUUUCAUUUUCUCUCCUGCUUUUCCAACAGACGCUGUCAUGUCCACAUCAAGGCUGGGGGCCGUCAAUUCCGUUCCCGGGAGGCUGAGAGCCACAUCCACAGAGGUUGCAGGGAGGGCCACCUGGGAGUCCUUAAGGCUGGCUUCCACUUCUCCCACUGGGCCUGAGUCUUUGCUGGAGGACCAGCCGAAGGCCGGCAUGCUGAAUUUGGGCAAUUUGAAUUGGCCAUCUUUGGCCUCGGCUCCCUUAGCUCCCAGUUUGAUCUCUCCCUCCACCUUGCCAACUUCGACCAUGGCGCCCGGUCCCUGGAUGUCCACCUCGACCUUGGGGAGGGUUACGUCCACAAUGGGGAUACUGAUGUCUACCUUGGGGUCUUUGGUGUCUACUUUGGGCAUUUUGACACUGGGCAUUUCUAUCUUCCUUCCUGAUAUCUUUGUGGAUGCCUCAGGAGUUUCUGGCACCGAGACUUUGAGGCUAGGAGCGUCCACAGAGAUCCCUCCCAUGGCCGCACUGACUUUGGGCAGAGAGAUGUCCAUGUCAGGCUGGGCGAUGCUGAUGGAGGUCUCGGGGCCUUUACCUUUGGACGGUGAGAAGCCGAACUUCGGUUUCUGGAAGCCAGGCAUUUUGAUCUUCUUGCCAAGAUCUUCCACUCCAACAUCCGGCUCCUCUAGGGUGACCUCUGAUGGAGGAAACUUGAGGUCAAUGUCUGGGCCCUUGGCCUGGAGAGAGCCCUCCACUGUGGGCAGUUUGACAUCCACCUGUGGAAGGCUGAGGUCCGUCCCUACAGCCAAGUCAACGUUGGAGGUGGAGAUGUCUACGGCCGGGAUGCUGACCUCAGUCUUGGGGAGACUGAGGUCGACGCUGCCCUCAGGCGCUUUGACAUCUCCCUUGGAAAAACUUAUGCUGGGCAUCUUGACCUUUGGCAUGUGA